GACGAACGCUGGCGGCGUGCUUAACACAUGCAAGUCGAACGGAAAGGCCCUGCUUUUGUGGGGUGCUCGAGUGGCGAACGGGUGAGUAACACGUGAGUAACCUGCCCUUGACUUUGGGAUAACUUCAGGAAACUGGGGCUAAUACCGGAUAGGAGCUCCUGCUGCAUGGUGGGGGUUGGAAAGUUUCGGCGGUUGGGGAUGGACUCGCGGCUUAUCAGCUUGUUGGUGGGGUAGUGGCUUACCAAGGCUUUGACGGGUAGCCGGCCUGAGAGGGUGACCGGCCACAUUGGGACUGAGAUACGGCCCAGACUUCUACGGGAGGCAGCAGUGGGGAAUAUUGCACAAUGGGCGGAAGCCUUAUGCAGCAAAGCCGCGUGCGGGAUGACGGCCUUCGGGUUGUAAACCGCUUUCGCCUGGGACGAAGCGUGAGUGACGGUAAUGGGUAAAGAAGCACCGGCUAACUACGUG
Molecule: ribosomal RNA, 468 nt
Filed under: uncultured bacterium
Lineage: Bacteria
Description: partial 16S ribosomal RNA
Rfam family: Bacterial small subunit ribosomal RNA
Source: RNAcentral